UACGAAGGGGGCUAGCGUUGCUCGGAAUUACUGGGCGUAAAGGGCGCGUAGGCGGUUCGGUAAGUCGGGUGUGAAACCUCCAGGCUCAACCUGGAGAUGCCACCUGAUACUGCUGUGACUCGAGUCCGGUAGGGGAGCGUGGAAUUCCUGGUGUAGCGGUGAAAUGCGCAGAUAUCAGGAGGAACACCAGCGGCGAAGGCGGCGCUCUGGGCCGGAACUGACGCUGAGGAGCGAAAGCGUGGGUAGCAAACAGG
RNAcentral lists this ribosomal RNA (254 nucleotides) under uncultured bacterium. RNAcentral's name for it is "partial 16S ribosomal RNA". It matches the Rfam family "Bacterial small subunit ribosomal RNA", at positions 524 to 776 of the family's 1533-position model. The record is from RNAcentral.